This 478-nucleotide ribosomal RNA is filed under the name uncultured bacterium. RNAcentral's name for it is "partial 16S ribosomal RNA". It matches the Rfam family "Bacterial small subunit ribosomal RNA", at positions 28 to 507 of the family's 1533-position model. The record is from RNAcentral.
GACGAACGCUGGCGGCGUGCUUAACACAUGCAAGUCGAACGGGAUUUAGUAGACAGAAGCCUCGGCUAAAGAUUACUAAUGAGAGUGGCGAACGGGGGAGUAACGCGUGAGCAACCUGCCUAUGACAGUGGGAUAGCCUCGGGAAACCGGGAUUAAUACCGCAUAAAAUCGUAGAAACACAUGUUUUAACGGUCAAAGAUUUAUCGGUCAUAGAUGGGCUCGCGUCUGAUUAGCUAGUUGGUGAGAUAACAGCCCACCAAGGCGACGAUCAGUAGCCGGUCUGAGAGGAUGAACGGCCACAUUGGAACUGAGACACGGUCCAAACUCCUACGGGAAGCAGCAGUGGGGAAUAUUGCACAAUGGGGGAAACCCUGAUGCAGCGACGCCGCGUGAACGAAGAAGGUAUUCGUAUCGUAAAGUUCUGUCCUAUGGGAAGAUAAUGACAGUACCAUAGAAGAAAGCUCCGGCUAAAUACGUG